This 460-nucleotide ribosomal RNA is filed under the name uncultured bacterium. Its description in RNAcentral is "partial 16S ribosomal RNA". It matches the Rfam family "Bacterial small subunit ribosomal RNA", at positions 338 to 795 of the family's 1533-position model. The record is from RNAcentral.
CCUACGGGAGGCAGCAGUGAGGAAUAUUGGUCAAUGGGCGCGAGCCUGAACCAGUCAAGUAGCGUGAAGGAUGACUGCCCUACGGGUUGUAAACUUCUUUUGUAAGGUAAUAAAGUGAGGCACGUGUACCUUUUUGUAUGUACUUUAUGAAUAAGGAUCGGCUAACUCCGUGCCAGCAGCCGCGGUAAUACGGAGGAUCCGAGCGUUAUCCGGGUUUUUUGGGUUUAAAGGGAGCGUAGAUGGGUUGUUAAGUCAGUGGUGAAAGUGUGCGGCUCAACCGUAAGAUGGCAAUUGAUACUGGCAGCCUUGAGUACAGGUGAGGUAGGCGGAAUUCGUGGUGUAGCGGUGAAAUGCUUAGAUAUCACGAAGAACUCCGAUUGUGAAGGCAGCUUACUAAACUGCCACUGACAUUGAUGCUCGAAAGUGUGGGUAUCAAACAGGAUUAGAUACCCGGGUAGUC